Molecule: non-coding RNA, 111 nt
Filed under: Tetraselmis striata
Lineage: Eukaryota; Viridiplantae; Chlorophyta; Chlorodendrophyceae; Chlorodendrales; Chlorodendraceae
Source: RNAcentral
AAAAAGGGUCGCAAGGGUGGCAAGGUUGCGAAAGAGCGCACCACUGCUGGCCUCUUCUGGAAUGCCACUGGCACAGACUUCUGGAAGCCCGUUUUCAUCGGCAAGGCCAAC